RNAcentral lists this ribosomal RNA (722 nucleotides) under uncultured fungus. Its description in RNAcentral is "eukaryotic LSU rRNA". The stretch from base 245 to 398 matches the Rfam family "5.8S ribosomal RNA". The record is from RNAcentral. Lineage: Eukaryota; Fungi.
GGAAGGAUCAUUAUUGAAUAAACUUGAACAGGCUGCUGCUGGCCCCCUUGGGGUGCAUGUGCACGCUUGUCAUCUUUAUCUCUCCUGCUGUGCACAUAUUGUAGACCUGGAGUCUGAUUAUUUGAGUAUAGAAUGAGAAUUGCUGUGCUUUCUAGUCAGCUUUGUCUUGCAUCUCCCAGGUCUAUGUUUGUUUUCACAAUCUCUGAAUGAUGUUGGAAUGUACCUAUAAAAGUUAUAUAUAUACAACUUUCAGCAACGGAUCUCUUGGCUCUCGCAUCGAUGAAGAACGCAGCGAAAUGCGAUAAGUAAUGUGAAUUGCAGAAUUCAGUGAAUCAUCGAAUCUUUGAACGCAUCUUGCGCUCCUUGGUAUUCCGAGGAGCAUGCCUGUUUGAGUGUCAUUAAGUUCUCAACCACACCAAUAUUUUGAUGUGGCCUUGGAUAUGGGGGUUUUUGCAGGCUUCUGAAAAUGAAGCCGGCUCCUCUGAAAUGCAUUAGUGGUAUCUGAGCAGAAACUACUACAGGUGUGAUAAUUAUCUAUGCCUUCAAGUAUACUGCAUGCACUGCUUCUAACAUGUUUGACAAAUUUGACCUCAAAUCAGGUAGGACUACCCGCUGAACUUAAGCAUAUCAAUAAGCGGAGGAAAAGAAACUAACAAGGAUUCCCCUAGUAACUGCGAGUGAAGCGGGAAGAGCUCAAAUUUAAAAUCUGGCGGUUUUUUAAC